This 787-nucleotide ribosomal RNA is filed under the name uncultured marine microorganism. RNAcentral describes it as "bacterial SSU rRNA". It matches the Rfam family "Bacterial small subunit ribosomal RNA", at positions 8 to 841 of the family's 1533-position model. The record is from RNAcentral.
AGAGUUUGAUCCUGGCUCAGGAUGAACGCUGGCGGCGUGCUUAACACAUGCAAGUCGAACGAACCUUCGGGUUAGUGGCGGACGGGUGAGUAACGCGUGAGAAUCUGCCCUCAGGAGGGGGAUAACGGUUGGAAACGACCGCUAAUACCCCAUAUGCCUACUGGUGAAAUGGAUUUCGCCUGAGGAUGAGCUCGCGUCUGAUUAGCUUGUUGGUGGGGUAAUGGCUCACCAAGGCUUCGAUCAGUAGCUGGUCUGAGAGGAUGAUCAGCCACACUGGGACUGAGACACGGCCCAGACUCCUACGGGAGGCAGCAGUGGGGAAUUUUCCGCAAUGGGCGAAAGCCUGACGGAGCAACGCCGCGUGAGGGACGAAGGCCUCUGGGCUGUAAACCUCUUUUCUCAAGGAAGAAGAUAUGACGGUACUUGAGGAAUAAGCCACGGCUAAUUCCGUGCCAGCAGCCGCGGUAAUACGGGAGUGGCAAGCGUUAUCCGGAAUUAUUGGGCGUAAAGCGUCCGCAGGCGGCUUUUCAAGUCUGCUGUUAAAGCGUGGAGCUUAACUCCAUCAUGGCAGUGGAAACUGAAAGGCUUGAGUAUGGUAGGGGCAGAGGGAAUUCCCGGUGUAGCGGUGAAAUGCGUAGAUAUCGGGAAGAACACCAGUGGCGAAGGCGCUCUGCUGGGCCAUUACUGACGCUCAUGGACGAAAGCCAGGGGAGCGAAAGGGAUUAGAUACCCCUGUAGUCCUGGCCGUAAACGAUGAACACUAGGUGUCGGGGGAAUCGACCCCUUC